Molecule: long non-coding RNA, 777 nt
Organism: Drosophila ananassae
Lineage: Eukaryota; Metazoa; Arthropoda; Insecta; Diptera; Drosophilidae
Exons: 2
Source: RefSeq, a predicted model, not a curated record
UACCCUCACUUUGGUAAUUAAUUUCCACGCUUAAAAAACAAACACCCACACCUUAUGGAUAGCUGAUACAUUUUUUAAUCCUUUCCUGGCCGUCCGGCUACCUUUGUUUCACCUUUCGCACGCUUGCCGUUUACCACGUUACUCUUACUAUUUUUUCACUUUUUUUGUUGACGUUUUUUUCGCUAUAAAUCUCAAUGUAAAAAUUUUCACACACACAGAAAAGCGUGGAAAAAUAAACGCCACCCCCGAAUGCCAAUAAAGGGGCCCACAUAUGCAGAGGAGCAACGCCCAGCCCGGCCCAGGCACGCUAAAGCAGCGCGAGAUCAAAAACACUUGCCACAAAGAUGAAACUGUGGGGGUGUGGGUGUUUGGCCAGGAUCGAGGAGGUGAAGGUGUGUCAGGAUGCAUAGGUUUUGCAACUCCUGGUCCUGGUGCAUGCUCCUUGCCGCAAAAGCCGACUGACACACCCCCCAAAAACACCAGCCCUGGAUAGAUUGCACCUGCAACACCUGCAAGUAACGUGACUCUGUCUCCUCACCUGCCGAGCAAUAUCUUGACUGAAGCUGUAGCUGAAGCUGGAGGCGUGGUAAAUGCAGUAAAUCCCCUUUUUGCCUUCACAGUUUCAUGGACUAACCCCUCCAAAAAUAAAAUCCUUUCGGGAGAAAAAACAAAAAAAAUUAAAACAAAAACCCGUGAAGCGGAUUCCCCGCUUAUAUGUACACUUUUUGACAUGUUUGUUUUUUAUGCAAAUAUCGAAAUAAAGAUUAGUUUUGUUGG